CCCCCAGCGCUAAUGUUCCCGGAGAUCCAAUAUCAUUAAAGCAGAUAACGCCGCCGCUGUUUGUUGUGACACCGUGUUUUUGUGAGUGACGAGCGAAGGGUUAACUCCAGGGAAUUGGGAAUAUUGCCUGGCUGCUAAUAACACGUGAGUCACCGCCGGAAUAACACAUGGGUGCAGGGAGAGACACGGCACCCGGCUGCACAGGGUCGGGGUUUGCCGCGUGCAGGCAGCAAGGAGCGACCCUACACAGAGGGUACGUGCUGCACCCCAAAUCCGGGCCCCCAAAAGGAGGGGUCAGCUGCUGGGGUCGAGCCCUCCAGCACGGACUUAUCGCCGCGCUCCGCGCCCCGAAAUCCAGCAGCUCCAUCCCUGCACCCCAACGGGACGGGGGUCACGGGGAUGGGGGGCAGAGAGAGGACAGAGACCCGCGCGCAUCGCUCCCACCUCCUGGAAACCACGCGGAGAGGAGCCCCGCGCUCCAGCCCGGUCAGCAGAGGAAUCUGCACACGCAGACAGGAUCGCUGCAAUCGCUGGUGGCUGAGGAUGAUUCCAACACGAGGAGGAUCCCUCCGUCCUCGCCUCGCGGGGUUUAGCGCCGUGUGAACGUGGCGAGGCCGUCUAUCGCUGCACCUGCCCCCCCUAUGUACACGGGUUGCUGUGCCUGCCCCGUGCGCUGCUGCACCUGCCCUGCACGUGCACCAGGACGGAGGGAGGGGUCGGCUGCUUUGCACAAGCGGGGACAGAAGGUCGCACGGAAAAAAACAUUCCGUCGCAAGCGAGGAUGGGUUAGAAUGUAAAAGAUUUAUUAAUUUAAUCCGAAGCAUUAAAAGGUCAUGUAUUAAUCAAA
Numida meleagris (helmeted guineafowl) is the source of this 847-nucleotide long non-coding RNA. RefSeq lists it as uncharacterized. The transcript has 2 exons. The record is from RefSeq and is a predicted model, not a curated record. NCBI's taxonomy places the organism in Eukaryota, Metazoa, Chordata, Aves, Galliformes, Numididae.